GUUAUUGUUUUCUAGGGUUCCGCAGCUGGUGCACAGCUGGUCUGGUCCGAGGGGAAACGCACGAACAGCAUCGUUCGUGUCUACACGGAGGGAUAAAAGCCCGGGAGGU
Molecule: small RNA, 109 nt
Filed under: Paenibacillus sp.
Lineage: Bacteria; Bacillati; Bacillota; Bacilli; Caryophanales; Paenibacillaceae
Also listed under: 1 other name
Description: Guanidine-I sequence
Rfam family: Guanidine-I riboswitch aptamer
About the family: This family represents a conserved RNA structure found upstream of the ykkC and yxkD genes in Bacillus subtilis and related genes in other bacteria. The function of this family is unclear although it has been suggested that it may function to switch on efflux pumps and detoxification systems in response to harmful environmental molecules.
Source: RNAcentral